GACGAACGCUGGCGGCGUGCUUAACACAUGCAAGUCGUACGGUAAGGCCCUUUCGGGGGUACACGAGUGGCGAACGGGUGAGUAACACGUGAGUAACCUGCCCACAACUUUGGGAUAACGCUAGGAAACUGGUGCUAAUACUGGAUAUGUGCUCCUGCUGCAUGGUGGGGGUUGGAAAGCUCCGGCGGUUGUGGAUGGACUCGCGGCCUAUCAGCUUGUUGGUGGGGUAGUGGCCUACCAAGGCGGCGACGGGUAGCCGGCCUGAGAGGGUGACCGGCCACAUUGGGACUGAGAUACGGCCCAGACUCCUACGGGAGGCAGCAGUGGGUAAUAUUGCACAAUGGGCGCAAGCCUGAUGCAGCAACGCCGCGUGCGGGAUAACGGCCUUCGGGUUGUAAACCGCUUUCAGCAGGGACGAAGCUUUUUGUGACGGUACCUGCAGAAGAAGCACCGGCUAACUACGUG
This 465-nucleotide ribosomal RNA is filed under the name uncultured bacterium. RNAcentral describes it as "partial 16S ribosomal RNA". It matches the Rfam family "Bacterial small subunit ribosomal RNA", at positions 28 to 507 of the family's 1533-position model. The record is from RNAcentral.